AGCCUUUUGAGUUAAUAUAAAAGGUUAAACCUGCCCGGUGAUCCACGGAUUUAACGGCCGCGGUACCCUGACCGUGCUAAGGUAGCAUAUAAUACGCCCUUUAAUUGUGGGCUAGUAUGAAAGGACAAACGAGAGCUAAGCUGUCUCUAAAAUAAAACCUAAAAUUAACCUACAGGUGAAAAGGCCUGUAUUCCAUUAAAAGACAAAAAGACCCCGUAGAGCUUAACUUACCCGAAUCUAAAAAGAAAAUAUUCUAUAAAUUUCUUUUUAAAAUAACACAGUUUAGCUGGGGCGGCUAAGGAGCAAUAAUUAAACCUCCUUAUAAAAAAAGGAAACAAACCAAUUUUUGAUCCUUUAUUGAUUAAAGAAAAAAGCUACCUAGGGGAUAACAGGCUAAUACCUUUUAAGAGCACAUAUCGAAAAAGGAGUUUGGCACCUCGAUGUUGGCUUAGAGGAACCUGGAGGUAGCAGAAGCUUCCAAAGGCAGGUUUGUUCAACCUUUAAACCUCU
This 510-nucleotide ribosomal RNA is filed under the name Clymenella cf. complanata GK-2017. Its description in RNAcentral is "partial 16S ribosomal RNA". It matches the Rfam family "Bacterial large subunit ribosomal RNA", at positions 1819 to 2597 of the family's 2925-position model. The record is from RNAcentral. Lineage: Eukaryota; Metazoa; Annelida; Polychaeta; Maldanidae.